AAAAACUUAGUUAAAUUAAUAACAUUAGUUUGUCAAACUAAAAUUAUCAAAAAGAUAGUUUUUU
Molecule: transfer RNA, 64 nt
Filed under: Coccidophilus cariba
Lineage: Eukaryota; Metazoa; Arthropoda; Insecta; Coleoptera; Coccinellidae
Description: tRNA-Asp
Source: RNAcentral